This is a long non-coding RNA of Taeniopygia guttata (zebra finch), 5372 nucleotides long. The record is from Ensembl. NCBI's taxonomy places the organism in Eukaryota, Metazoa, Chordata, Aves, Passeriformes, Estrildidae.
UAACAUGAUCAUUUUAUUUAAAUUAUAUGGGCUGAUUAUCCAUGCUUGAAAAUAAAAAGGGGAGGGGAUACACAUGCAUUGAAAAAUAGUUGCAUUAUCUUUUUAUGGACAAGAAGGGAAGGCAAGAGAGAAAACAUAAUCCUUUCAUCCCCAAAUUACAAAUCAGCUAAUUGAGCUGCAACAACAAAUGUCAUUCACUUGAAUUCAUGAAAGUAGUUUAAAAAAUAAGAUUUUAAAUUAUUUCAGGCAAUAGCUCAAAUAUAUUAACUUUUGCUUAGCAAAACAAGGUCAGAGAAGCAAGUAUACCCUCUGCGUUUCCAAGGAUGUUUUGCAAAACACUCCUUCAAUGGGAUCCAGCCUUGACUUUCACACGUGAAUGAUGAAAAGCUUUGUUUCCCUUCCACCAGUGUUUUUCCAGGCAGUGGUGGACUGCCUGGAAAAAGGCUCAAGAUUUUGUUUGUUCUGAGUACUCUAAAAACAAACAAACAAACAAACAAACAAAACCCUAAAAACCCCCCAAACCUAGUGGUUCUCUGAUUCUGGUGUCAGGUAAAACGAGCAAAGAGGACAAAAGUCAGAUGCAGCCUGCUCUGAGGCUCUAUCUAGUACUAUAAACCCUUCUGCUCCAAAGGCAAAAGGCUAAUUGAGCUGCUCCAGGCAACAGCAGUGCUUAUCAGAGCUGAUUUAUUUUGUGGUCUAUUAUUGCUGACAUCACCUCAGCUACCAGGGAAAGUGCUAGAAAUCCUUUUGUUUCUGUGAAAGGACAUUUUGUCUUAUGCAAAAGCAGCACUUGCUGAGGCUCUCACGUAUCAGAGCCUCCACCCCCUCUAGAAAGGGUGUCUAAAAUUUGUUUGGAUUUGAUAAGCAUUUUGAAUUUAGGACUAUUAAGCCUCGAGGAGAGAAAUUGGCAGUGUACUUUAUUAUGCUGCUCUCAAGCAAACACGUUCACUCCCCCUCAACUGCUCUUUCCCUCUCCUGAUGUCCCUAUCAUGAGUAUAUGCUUUAGCAGCCUAUUAUGUUCCAUGCAUAGUUCAAAAAUGCAAAUAAAAGCACCGAGUUCCAAAUGGGAUCUGCAGUAAGGCCCGAAUGGGGAUUGCAAUUGAACUUGUUAAGCUAAUCUCAUUGAAAAAAACAUCUUCCCAAUUGUCUAGGAAAGGUCUGUAUAAUGCAAUUUGGCUCUAGCUUGCCUAGGAAAUACAGCUGACCCCUGGUUGUCAUGAGAAAUAUCCAUAUAGACUGGACAGCCUCCCUAUAUACCAGAGCCAGUUUAUGCUAACAGAGCUUUAUACUUUUUGCUAACAGAGCUGUUUUACAUCACUGACGGUUUCUAUAUCAAUUUAGUUAAGUUGAUGCAAGAAGGUCCAGGAACAGUUUUUCUCCUUUAAAAAAACCUAAAAUAUGCCAUUUUGAAUUAUUCAAAUGAGACAGAUAAUAUCAGUUAAAUUAAAACAACCCAUAGGUUUAUGCCUGAAUAAUCUCAUGUUUGAUUGAAGAAUACUUAAAUCUACAACUAACUUUUCCUGACAUCUCGGUGAUGUCAAGCUGAUUACAUAAUUCUUGACCCUCCUUGCCUUCCCUACUAAAUGUAGACUUCAUUAGGAGAACUAAAUGAGAAAAUUUUAUUCCUAUUAAUUACAUUAUUCUGCAAAUGAAAAGAAAAUAGAUUAAUACAAGGAAAAGAAUUCUCCUAACAAAAUCAGAACAUAAGCCAGUAAUUCACAAGAAAAAUACUUUCUCCAUUGCACCUGUUCAGAUCUUUACUGCUAGAAAUUUCUUUUAAGUAAGGAAGAGAGGUAUGGUCCUUUUAUCUCUGACAUGAGCUCUUCAGCAAAUUUGGGAUAUCCCUUGUUCAGAAACAACUAUUAAUAAUACUCGUAUGCUUUGAUUUUUGUAUGGAUCUCUUUCAUAGCUUUAUUACUGUCAGAACUCUAUGUUAACAUAAAGAACCUCCAAAACACCUAUUAAAUCUAUACUUAGGUAAUAAGUGCUUGGGUUUUUAAUUUUUUGUUUUUUAAUUUUAACAUGUGCCCACUGAAGAAAAGAGCUAAGACAUAAGCCAUCUUUUAAAAUACCAAGUGAACUUCGGCUCUAAUUAUUUCUUGCCCUUUAUCCUCUUCAACCUCAAAUUUCUCCUUUUAUUAAUAUCUGAGCCUACUGGACAAAUGGAAAAAAAGAGUAACAGAGGGGAAAAAUCCUUAAAUAUGCAUUUUCUUUUUCUAUGUGUUUAAUGAUUCAAGUACUGUUUACCAGAAAGAGAAAAAAUAAAGUAAAAUCUAAAUUGCUAAAUCUGUAAAUUGAAUGUGUAUCCUAAGCUACUACUUACCAAUGUCAGUGCUCAUGAUUUAGAAUCCACUUGGAAGUAGUUGUUUUAAUUUAUCAAUUCAAAUGAUCCCUUACAGCAAUUUUGCAAUUCAUCUAGAAAUCAUCUUCAGGAAGGCAGUCCUUAGGGGAGUGUCACUGCUGCAUUACUUUAGAGAUGACCACAGCAGUAUGAUUUGGCCCAUAAAAGUUGGUUUAUUUUCAUCCACUUCAGAGACAUGAGAGGUGCAUAGGAAUAAGCUGUAGACAAGGUAUAAAAGCACUCCAAAGGAGGUUGAUUUACUCUAGAGGGAAAAAAUCAUCUUGUGAAAUCCUAAAUUAAAGGUUUUGGUUUAAUUACAAUUUUGCCCUAGGGUUUUGGCUGUUAAGAAGAAUGAGCUAUAUAAUCUGUUCUCUGUCACUCAAGAACUACCAGUCCUUAGAAAUCUGACUUUUUGAAGCAAUGAUGCUAAGAAGAAAGACUAACCUGGAGCACCACUUGCCUAGCAAGCAGGAGGUAUAUUACUGGGCUAGAAGCACAUAGUACUGGCUAGCAUAACUAACUGCAGAUUAAAAGUCACUGUCAGGAAAGCACUUUGGUUCACCCUCAGCUUCCAGCAUGGAUGACAGCUGCUCAGUGUCAGAUAUUGUAUGUGUUAGUGAAGUGGUCUGAGCCAGACACUGCCUCUUAUCAAGGCCAGAAGAGAUGACCAGCAAGCAGCUUUACCUGUCUCCUGCCACUACAGAUAGAGAACACAGGGACAAUGUGGCGGUGCAGCUGCUGUUGUUGCACUCUGGACUGACCUGAGAGGUUUCAUGCUGGCUUUACAUGACUUGUUUUCAACACACUCCACAAAAGCUGAUGCCUGCAGGUAUGUGUAGGACUGGAAACAGACAGAGGCAAGGACAUAAUUUCCCAGAGCUGCCUGCAGAACUUACCCUUAUUUUUGAUCCAUGAGACAGCUGGAACCAAUGUAAUAGGCCCUUGAGUAGGAGAAAAGCUGCUUGCCAUCAUUAAAGCAGUGGAGAACAUAUAUUCAAAGAAGCCCCCACAAAAAAAAAAAACAACCAGUGUUAAACUAAAGCUUAGAGCUCUGCCUAUGCCCUUGUAUGGUGUGGUCUCAGGCACUGAAAAGAAGACAAGGGAGAGCAAAAACACCUGGGGUCAUCAGAGCACGGUGGGGAAUAUCACAUUCCAGGCAUCUUGCAGAGGCAGCAAGUGAUCUCAUGCCCAGUCACAGAAUUCAUGCAAGUAGCUUGGUACCUCUGCCUUACUACAAACCCAUUUUAAGAGUGUGUCUGGACUGGUGCCAGAGCAUUCAACACCUCGCAGAACUGCGCUCUCUCUGCACUAAAAAUAUAAUUCAGGUUUUUUGUAGUUGCUGGAAACAUCAAUGGGAAAUCCAGGACACAGGUUAGUGGGGAAGACAUGGUUGCAAGACAGGCCUGCCAACAAAAUCUUUCUAGGAAAGCAGACCCCAGUGGAGCAGUAGGUGAGGCAUCUGGGCAGCCCCUUCUGCCCAUGCGACAGCCAGGGUGCUGCAAGGCCAGGAGCUGGAUGGCAGCACCAGCUCCCUGCUCACAGCCUGGUGGGGCUCACAUUGCUGUGGGAGGAGAGGAACUGAUGAGCUGCAUCGGCUUUCCACAGCCUUCCAAGACAAGAGGCGACUGGGGCUGUGGAUUAUGGUGUUGGUACUACAGAUAAAUAUUUAUUAAUGAUUAAAAAUCUUCAUUAAACUUCAUUAAACCUACUGAACUCAUGAGGCUAUGAUAAUGUAAAGAAGCAGCAAAAAAGCCAUCUCUUUCAAAAGAUUUGUUUUUACCACCUUGUUCAUACUCAUGGUUUCAAGUGUGAGCACUUUGAAGGAGUCAGUAAAAUACAGACAGUUAAUAGUCAUAGUGAAUAUCUGCUGUUUAGAUCAAUGCUCAGCUUCUCCAGUCAUCUGUCAGGAUUACUUUGAUCCCACAAAUCCCUAUGUUUUGCUGCAGGGCAGCAGCCCUGUGGAAAAAAGAUUGAAUGAUCUCUACCUUUUUUUGUUUAGGGCUACCAUAUAGAGUUAACAUGUUCAGUGAGUUCUCCCACUGCCCUGUGCUGUAAACAGCAGUGGAGUGCACUUGCUCAGCUGCAGCUGCUAAGGAGAAGUAUGGCAGCUUCCCGACCAUACUAUAAACUGCCAGUUUUCUUUUUCUGCCCAGUUUGGAACUGACCAUCCGUGCUCUUGUGUAAAGGCUGAAAUCUGGGUCAAUCAACCUGAUGUAUGACAACAGAGAAUAAUAUCUGCCCAGAGCUGUGACUGAUCUGUACAACUGUCUGCAGAGUGUUUGUCUCUGCUUCCCACUCUGCCUCACCACCAUUUCAGCCCUUCGGCCCUGGCUCACCCAUCAUCUCCUCACACAACACAGAGGACAUCCACCCACUCACCAGCCAUACAUGUGAAAUAGUAGGAAAUAAUGCACCUUAUUAAAGUUAUAGGGAAAGAAAAGUAUUUGAGAAGGAGACAAUGUCAAACCUUUACCACAGUGACAGAUGACUCAACCUGAUUUUAGCAAAGACACUGUUUUUCCACUAUACUUUAUAUGUAAAAAUAUAGAUUUUGAGUAAUUGCAUAUGCACAGAUGAAAGAGGGAAAGGGCUUUAUGAAGGGACACUAACCUACUUGACAGCAGAAGCUAUUUUUAAAUUUCCAGUUUAAAAUUUACAAUUUACAAUGUACGAUUUAAAAAAUUAAAUGUACAAAUAAAAGACCCAAACUUCUGGUCAUCUUCCUCUCCUCAAUAUUUAUUAUCCUCUACCUAUAAAAAUAAUUUCCAUUUUCCAUUUCCCUGAAUAUCUGAGUUAAUGUCCCCAGCUUUUUCAUAAUUCCACAUACUUUGUACACAAUACAGAGACACUUUCCUGAACUAAUCUGUUUGUCAGAUAACUUGUCUUCAAACAAUUAGCUACAUCAGGAUUUCUCUGUAGCAAAUCAAUAGCUUUGGCUCAGGCAGAUAUAAGCUUUAGCAGGUUGACACGCCUCUCAAAAUAAAUCACACAAAAUGGCAAGGGGCUGUUACAGUAAGCUGCUUGAAAAUAA